This 433-nucleotide ribosomal RNA is filed under the name uncultured bacterium. Its description in RNAcentral is "partial 16S ribosomal RNA". It matches the Rfam family "Bacterial small subunit ribosomal RNA", at positions 29 to 507 of the family's 1533-position model. The record is from RNAcentral.
AGCGAACGCUGGCGGCAGGCCUAACACAUGCAAGUCGAACGAACUCUUCGGAGUUAGUGGCGGACGGGUGAGUCACACGUGGGAACGUGCCUUUUGGCUCGGAAUUACUCAGGGUAACUUGUGCUAAUACCGAAUGAGCCCCUCGGGGGAAAGAUUUAUCGCCAUUAUAGCGGCCCGCGAUCGUUUAGCUUGUGGGUGAGGUAACGGCCCACCACGGCGACGCUCAGUAGCUGGUCUGAGAGGAUCACCAGCCACACUGGGACGGAGACGCGGCCCGGACUCUUACGGGAGGCAGCAGUGGGGAAUCUAGCGCAAUGGGCGAAAUCCAGACGCAGCCAGGCUGCGAGAAUGAUGAAGGUGUUAGGAUUGUAAAACUCUUUCACCGGGGACGAUAAUGACGGUACCCAGAGAAGAAGCACCGGCUAACUUCGUG